This 255-nucleotide ribosomal RNA is filed under the name uncultured bacterium. RNAcentral describes it as "partial 16S ribosomal RNA". It matches the Rfam family "Bacterial small subunit ribosomal RNA", at positions 524 to 777 of the family's 1533-position model. The record is from RNAcentral.
UACGAACUGUGCAAACGUUUAUUCGGAUUCACUGGGCUUAAAGGGUGCGUAGGCGGCCAUGUAAGUAGGGUGUGAAAUCCCCCGGCUUAACCGGGGAACUGCGCCCUAAACUGUGUGGCUUGAGUGAGAUAGGGGUGUGUGGAACUUCCGGUGGAGCGGUGAAAUGUGUUGAUAUCGGAAGGAACGCCGGUGGCGAAAGCGACACACUGGGUCUCAACUGACGCUGAGGCACGAAAGCCAGGGGAGCGAACGGGG